Molecule: non-coding RNA, 251 nt
Organism: Pelobates cultripes (western spadefoot toad)
Lineage: Eukaryota; Metazoa; Chordata; Amphibia; Anura; Pelobatidae
Source: the annotation of a GenBank genome assembly
GGAAAGCAUCUCCUUUUGGGAUACGAAUGCUCCACCUGGACAGGGGAGCAUUUUAAUUACUUCCCUUGCGGUUUCACACUUAUGUUGCAAGUGCGAACGUUCUGACUUAAUUGGUGUGAACGUUCCAAUGUGGCACCGGGGAGGUCCUCGUUUGAGAGACGAACGAGUCAGGAAACAAUCCAUACGAAUGGUGGCCACCCAGGACAAGCACUCAUUAAAUGUUUCCCUUUGCGGUUUGACACCUAUAUAAC